This 598-nucleotide ribosomal RNA is filed under the name uncultured bacterium. RNAcentral describes it as "bacterial SSU rRNA". It matches the Rfam family "Bacterial small subunit ribosomal RNA", at positions 8 to 592 of the family's 1533-position model. The record is from RNAcentral.
AGAGUUUGAUUAUGGCUCAGGAUGAACGCUGGCGGCGUGCUUAACACAUGCAAGUCGAACGGGGUUAUCAUUUUUGAAGCGAUUAGCUUGCUAAGAGUGGAAAAGUUGAUAACUUAGUGGCGGACGGGUGAGUAACGCGUGGGUAACCUGCCUUACACAGGGGGAUAACACUUAGAAAUAGGUGCUAAUACCGCAUAAGCGCACAGUCCCGCAUGGGACAGAGUGAAAAACAUUAGUGGUGUAAGAUGGACCCGCGUCUGAUUAGCUGGUUGGCGGGGUAACGGCCCACCAAGGCGACGAUCAGUAGCCGGCCUGAGAGGGUGGACGGCCACAUUGGGACUGAGACACGGCCCAAACUCCUACGGGAGGCAGCAGUGGGGGAUAUUGGACAAUGGGGGAAACCCUGAUCCAGCGACGCCGCGUGAGUGAAGAAGUAUUUCGGUAUGUAAAGCUCUAUCAGCAGGGAAGAAAGAAAUGACGGUACCUGAGUAAGAAGCCCCGGCUAACUACGUGCCAGCAGCCGCGGUAAUACGUAGGGGGCAAGCGUUAUCCGGAAUUACUGGGUGUAAAGGGAGCGUAAACGGUAAUGCAAGUCUGG